Molecule: ribosomal RNA, 253 nt
Filed under: uncultured bacterium
Lineage: Bacteria
Description: partial 16S ribosomal RNA
Rfam family: Bacterial small subunit ribosomal RNA
Source: RNAcentral
UACGUAGGGGGCAAGCGUUGUCCGGAAUUAUUGGGCGUAAAGAGCGCGUAGGCGGUCCGAUAAGUCGGCUGUGAAAGUCAGGGGCUCAACCCUUGGAAGCCGGCCGAUACUGUCGGACUAGAGUCCGGAAGAGGCGAGUGGAAUUCCCGGUGUAGCGGUGAAAUGCGCAGAUAUCGGGAGGAACACCAAUGGCGAAGGCAGCUCGCUGGGACGGUACUAACGCUGAGGCGCGAAAGCGUGGGGAGCAAACAGG